UUGUGAUAUCAGCUUCUCAGAUCCAGACGACCUCCUCAACUUCAAGCUGGUCAUCUGUCCUGAUGAGGUGAGGGUGCAUAUGGCUGAAUUCCCAGGAGCAAACCAAGGGUGUCCCCACUGAGAGGAGGGAGACAUGUUCUGCCCAUCGGGCCCCACAGGAUGGAACCCUAAAAUUUUCUUCUCCCCCCUCCCAGGGCUUCUACAAGAGUGGGAAGUUUGUGUUCAGUUUUAAGGUGGGCCAGGGUUACCCGCAUGAUCCCCCCAAGGUGAAGUGUGAGACAAUGGUCUAUCACCCCAACAUUGACCUCGAGGGCAACGUCUGCCUCAACAUCCUCAGGUGAGGGCACUGGCCCUCUACUGCCCUCCCCAGCCCUGCCUGCCAGGCCUCCCUCAUGGUCUUGUGGGCACUACAUCAGACUCUGUCCCUUCCCACCCCUUUGUU
RNAcentral lists this small RNA (442 nucleotides) under Pongo abelii (Sumatran orangutan). RNAcentral describes it as "retained intron". Lineage: Eukaryota; Metazoa; Chordata; Mammalia; Primates; Hominidae. The record is from RNAcentral.